Molecule: ribosomal RNA, 421 nt
Filed under: uncultured bacterium
Lineage: Bacteria
Description: bacterial SSU rRNA
Rfam family: Bacterial small subunit ribosomal RNA
Source: RNAcentral
UAAGGAAUAUUGGUCAAUGGACGCAAGUCUGAACCAGCCAUGCCGCGUGAAGGAUAAAGGUCCUCUGGAUUGUAAACUUCUUUUAUCUGGGACGAAAACGGGAUUUUUAUCUCAAUUGACGGUACCAGAGGAAUAAGCACCGGCUAACUCCGUGCCAGCAGCCGCGGUAAUACGGAGGGUGCGAGCGUUAUCCGGAUUUACUGGGUUUAAAGGGUGCGUAGGUGGGCUUAUAAGUCAGUGGUGAAAUCUCCGAGCUUAACUUGGAAACUGCCGUUGAUACUAUAGGUCUUGAAUUAUCUGGAGGUAAGCGGAAUAUGUCAUGUAGCGGUGAAAUGCUUAGAUAUGACAUGGAACACCAAUUGCGAAGGCAGCUUACUACAUAUAAAUUGACGCUGAGGCACGAAAGCGUGGGGAUCAAACA